RNAcentral lists this ribosomal RNA (474 nucleotides) under Cryptosporidium sp. shrew genotype II. Its description in RNAcentral is "SSU rRNA". It matches the Rfam family "Eukaryotic small subunit ribosomal RNA", at positions 514 to 1024 of the family's 1831-position model. The record is from RNAcentral. Lineage: Eukaryota; Apicomplexa; Conoidasida; Eucoccidiorida; Cryptosporidiidae.
AUGAGUUAAGUAUAAACCCCUUAACAAGUAUCAAUUGGAGGGCAAGUCUGGUGCCAGCAGCCGCGGUAAUUCCAGCUCCAAUAGCGUAUAUUAAAGUUGUUGCAGUUAAAAAGCUCGUAGUUGGAUUUCUGUUAAUACUUGCAUGUGCUGUCAUCGAUACGCGUGUAAUAUUAGCAUCAUCCGCGUCACCUUCGGUGUGCGGAACUUUACUUUGAGAAAAUUAGAGUGCUUAAAGCAGGCUUUUGCCUUGAACACUCCAGCAUGGAAUAAUAUGAAGGAUUUUUAUCUUUCUUAUUGGUUCUAAGAUAAAAACAAUGGUUAAUAGGGACAGUUGGGGGCAUUUGUAUUUAACAGUCAGAGGUGAAAUUCUUAGAUUUGUUAAAGACAAACUAGUGCGAAAGCAUUUGCCAAGGAUGUUCUCAUUAAUCAAGAACGAAAGUUAGGGGAUCGAAGACGAUCAGAUACCGUCGUAGU